CUUGGUCAUUUAGAGGAAGUAAAAGUCGUAACAAGGUUUUUAGACAUAAGCUCUAGGAUAGAUCUGCCGAUCCUUCCCUGGUGACACUUAUCGAAGCCUGUGCGGCCCCCCCAGGGGUUGCCGCCGCGACUCUAAACAACGGCGGCGCACGCAAGUCAGCAAUGGCAACAUGAUCGAAUUGCGGGGAGCCCUAAAGCCUUAUAGUACCAACCGGGGACGGAAACGUCCGCGGGGCCUAUACUAACCACAUAGGGGGGUCAUAACCUAUGAGGAUGUACAAUGGGUGAUCCGCAGCGAAGCCCCUACGGCCGCCUGGCUACGGGGAGCGUUCACAGACUAAGUGAUUGUGGGCACCGCGGUGCUUAAGAUAUAGUCGGGUCCGCCGGGAAACCAGCGGGGGAGCUCACCACCACACCGUUCCGUAGGUGAACCUGCGGAAGGAUCAUUACAGUGUUCCCUGCCCUCACGGGUAGAACGCCCACCCUUGUGUAUUGUAUAUUGUUGCUUUGGCGGACCGCCCUCGGGCACCGGCUUCGGCUGGCUCGCGUCCGCCAGGGAAGCCCAAACUCUGCAUGUUUAGUGUCGUCCGAGUACUAUAUAAUAGUUAAAACUUUCAACAACGGAUCUCUUGGUUCUGGCAUCGAUGAAGAACGCAGCGAAAUGCGAUAAGUAAUGUGAAUUGCAGAAUUCAGUGAAUCAUCGAAUCUUUGAACGCACAUUGCGCCCCGUGGUAUUCCGCGGGGCAUGCCUGUUCGAGCGUCAUUUCAACCAAUCCAGCGUGCUGGGUCUUGGGCCUCGCCUUCGGGCGGGCCUUAAAAUCAGUGGCGGCGCCUCCCGGCUCUAAGCGUAGUAAUUCUUCUCGCUACAGGGUCCCGGGUGGAGGCUGGCCAGCAACCCCUAAUUCUCAAAGGUUGACCUCGGAUCAGGUAGGGAUACCCGCUGAACUUAGCAUAUCAAUAAGCGGAGGA
RNAcentral lists this ribosomal RNA (968 nucleotides) under uncultured Ascomycota. RNAcentral describes it as "eukaryotic LSU rRNA". The stretch from base 609 to 762 matches the Rfam family "5.8S ribosomal RNA". The record is from RNAcentral. Lineage: Eukaryota; Fungi; Ascomycota.